GACAGAGGUGCCGAGCGUUAGGCGGAAUCACUGGGCUUAAAGCGUGUGUAGGCGGACUUCUAAGUACCUUGUGAAAUCCCACGGCUCAACCGUGGAACUGCUCGGUAUACUGGUUGUCUUGAGCCACUUAGGGGCAGUCGGAACAGACGGUGGAGCGGUGAAAUGCGUAGAUAUUGGGAGGAAUACCGGUGGCGAAGGCGGCUCCCUGGACCGGUACUGACGCUGAGGCGCGAAAGCGUGGGUAGCAAACAGG
Molecule: ribosomal RNA, 253 nt
Filed under: uncultured bacterium
Lineage: Bacteria
Description: partial 16S ribosomal RNA
Rfam family: Bacterial small subunit ribosomal RNA
Source: RNAcentral